This 312-nucleotide long non-coding RNA is filed under the name Capsicum annuum. Its description in RNAcentral is "long non-coding RNA (CANN_LNC004754)". The record is from RNAcentral. Lineage: Eukaryota; Viridiplantae; Streptophyta; Magnoliopsida; Solanales; Solanaceae.
UUUAAAUUGCCCUGAUUUCACAUACUUAAUCUCGAUUUUAGUGUAGAAAUACAAAAUUGAGUUAGUACUCACAUGUUAGAAAUUUUGUUGACCAAAUUAGCAAAUACCAGUAAGACAAAAAAAAUUCUUUUGAUCUCCGGUAAGACUCACCACCGCUGCUCUAGUCGGACGCACCACUGAUUCAGUCAGAUGUUGAUUCAGUCAGAGGCAUAAAAUAUUUUUUUGUCCGACCAAUUUAAAAUAAAAUAAUGAUGUGAGAGUGCUGGCAAGUGAGGAAGAAAGCGACUACCAGACAUCAUCUAUGUAAGUAGC